This 450-nucleotide ribosomal RNA is filed under the name uncultured bacterium. RNAcentral describes it as "partial 16S ribosomal RNA". It matches the Rfam family "Bacterial small subunit ribosomal RNA", at positions 338 to 795 of the family's 1533-position model. The record is from RNAcentral.
CCUACGGGUGGCUGCAGUGGGGAAUUUUGGACAAUGGGGGCAACCCUGAUCCAGCCAUUCCGCGUGAGUGAAGAAGGCCUUCGGGUUGUAAAGCUCUUUCGCAAGGGAAGAAAACUUACUCAAUAACACUGGGUGAGGCUGACGGUACCUUGAUAAGCAGCACCGGCUAACUACGUGCCAGCAGCCGCGGUAAUACGUAGGGGACGAGCGUUGAUCGGAGUUACUGGGGGCAAAUUUGGAAGAGGCAGGUGAAAUCCCCGGGCUCAACCUGGGAACUGCGGUUGAAACUACAAGGCUAGAGUAUGGCAGAGGGGGGUAGAAUUCCACGUGUAGCAGUGAAAUGCGUAGAGAUGUGGAGGAAUACCAAUGGCGAAGGCAGCCCCCUGGGUCAAUACUGACGCUCAUGCACGAAAGCGUGGGGAGCAAACAGGAUUAGAUACCCCAGUAGUC